UGAGGUCGGCAAGCUGGACAGAUCCAGGAAAUGGGUCUGUAGCUCAGUUGGUUAGAGCGCACCCCUGAUAAGGGU
This 75-nucleotide transfer RNA is filed under the name uncultured Pseudomonas sp. RNAcentral's name for it is "transfer RNA-Ala". Lineage: Bacteria; Pseudomonadati; Pseudomonadota; Gammaproteobacteria; Pseudomonadales; Pseudomonadaceae. The record is from RNAcentral.